This 496-nucleotide ribosomal RNA is filed under the name uncultured bacterium. Its description in RNAcentral is "partial 16S ribosomal RNA". It matches the Rfam family "Bacterial small subunit ribosomal RNA", at positions 29 to 507 of the family's 1533-position model. The record is from RNAcentral.
AUGAACGCUGGCGGCGUGCCUAAUCCAUGCCAGUCGAGCGAACAGAUGAGGAGCUUGCUCCUCUGACGUUAGCGGCGGACGGGUGAGUAACACGUGGAUAACCUACCUAUAAGACUGGGAUAACUUCGGGAAACCGGAGCUAAUACCGGAUAAUAUAUUGAACCGCAUGGUUCAAUAGUGAAAGACGGUUUUGCUGUCACUUAUAGAUGGAUCCGCGCCGCAUUAGCUAGUUGGUAAGGUAACGGCUUACCAAGGCGACGAUGCGUAGCCGACCUGAGAGGGUGAUCGGCCACACUGGAACUGAGACACGGUCCAGACUCCUACGGGAGGCAGCAGUAGGGAAUCUUCCGCAAUGGGCGAAAGCUUGACGGAGCAACGCCGCGUGAGUGAUGAAGGUCUUCGGAUCGUAAAACUCUGUUAUUAGGGAAGAACAAAUGUGUAAGUAACUAUGCACGUCUUGACGGUACCUAAUCAGAAAGCCACGGCUAACUACGUG